GGAUGUAGCGCAGCUGGUAGCGCGUUUGGUUUGGGACCAAAAUGUCGCAGGUUCAAAUCCUGUCAUCC
This 68-nucleotide transfer RNA is filed under the name uncultured Treponema sp. It matches the Rfam family "tRNA". From Rfam's summary of the family: Transfer RNA (tRNA) molecules are approximately 80 nucleotides in length. Their secondary structure includes four short double-helical elements and three loops (D, anti-codon, and T loops). Lineage: Bacteria; Pseudomonadati; Spirochaetota; Spirochaetia; Treponematales; Treponemataceae. The record is from RNAcentral.